This 430-nucleotide ribosomal RNA is filed under the name Pseudomonadota bacterium. RNAcentral describes it as "Proteobacteria bacterium partial 16S ribosomal RNA". It matches the Rfam family "Bacterial small subunit ribosomal RNA", at positions 355 to 776 of the family's 1533-position model. Lineage: Bacteria; Pseudomonadati; Pseudomonadota. The record is from RNAcentral.
UGGGGAAUAUUGGACAAUGGGGGGAACCCUGAUCCAGCCAUGCCGCGUGUGUGAAGAAGGCCUUAUGGUUGUAAAGCACUUUAAGCGAGGAGGAGGGUACUGGUAUUAAUACUACCAGGUACUGGACGUUACUCGCAGAAUAAGCACCGGCUAACUCUGUGCCAGCAGCCGCGGUAAUACAGAGGGUGCGAGCGUUAAUCGGAUUUACUGGGCGUAAAGCGUGCGUAGGCGGCUAAUUGAGUCGGAUGUGAAAUCCCCGAGCUUAACUUGGGAAGUGCAUUCGAUACUGGUUAGGUAGAGUGUGGGAGAGGAUGGUAGAAUUCCAGGUGUAGCGGUGAAAUGCGUAGAGAUCUGGAGGAAUACCGAUGGCGAAGGCAGCCAUCUGGCCUAACACUGACGCUGAGGUACGAAAGCAUGGGGAGCAAACAGG